Molecule: ribosomal RNA, 428 nt
Filed under: uncultured bacterium
Lineage: Bacteria
Description: bacterial SSU rRNA
Rfam family: Bacterial small subunit ribosomal RNA
Source: RNAcentral
GCUGGCGGCAUGCUUAACACAUGCAAGUCGCACGAAGGUUUCGGCCUUAGUGGCGGACGGGUGAGUAACGCGUAGGAAUCUAUCCAUGGGUGGGGGAUAACUCUGGGAAACUGGAGCUAAUACCGCAUGAUACCUGAGGGUCAAAGGCGCAAGUCGCCUGUGGAGGAGCCUGCGUUCGAUUAGCUUGUUGGUGGGGUAAUGGCCUACCAAGGCGAUGAUCGAUAGCUGGUCUGAGAGGAUGAUCAGCCACACUGGGACUGAGACACGGCCCAGACUCCUACGGGAGGCAGCAGUGGGGAAUAUUGGACAAUGGGGGCAACCCUGAUCCAGCAAUGCCGCGUGUGUGAAGAAGGUUUUCGGAUUGUAAAGCACUUUCGGCGGGGACGAUGAUGACGGUACCCGCAGAAGAAGCCCCGGCUAACUUCGUG